Cimex lectularius (bed bug) is the source of this 382-nucleotide long non-coding RNA. RefSeq lists it as uncharacterized. Lineage: Eukaryota; Metazoa; Arthropoda; Insecta; Hemiptera; Cimicidae. The transcript is spliced from 3 exons. The record is from RefSeq and is a predicted model, not a curated record.
ACCAUUCUACAUUUGUUUUGUCAUGCGAAGCCGGUUCUCACGCUAUGCCUGGGUCAGGCAAUCAGAUAACAUGAACGUGAAAUACAGGAGUGCUAUAGCAACCAGCAUUUGCAGAUAAUAAAUUACAACGUGGCCGAACGAUUGAAACAGAAAAAAAUUAUAGGAACCGAACCGACCCAAGGUUUAUCAAGUUCUCUGGGGCGAGUGUGUGAUAUCCGUAGAGUAAAAUUGACAAUCUGAUGUACAAAUGGGAGACUAGUAUUCUAGGACAUAGACGCAGUUUUCAUAUAAAAGCAGAAGCCAGUACAGAUUGAAACACGCAAAUGGCUGUAUAUAAAAAAUACGUGUACAAAACCAGAAAAAGAAGUAAAAACAUGCAUAA